UAAAGGGUCCUAUGUUCCCCUAGCGGGGAACAUUGGACCCGGGGAACAUAGGGAUGACUCCUUGGGCUCCACUAUCCUUCACGCCACGGUUCUAUUCCCUAGCGUCGCCGCCCAUGAAAAAGCGCAAAUGCGUACAUGAGAAACGGGAAAGCUUCUACGACCAAAAGGGGACGUGCCUCCGCAAAUGCCGCAAGAAACCUGGGAGAUUGGCAGUUUACCACUAGCACCUACCGGCGUACAAUACAAAUGGAUUACACCAGACGUUAUUUGCUCUAACCAAUACGCAGGCCUUGCCCUUUGCCGUCUCUCGUCUCGAGCUUCUCGCUCACAACCAAUCACGUUCUUCUGGUCACUAGUUCUUAAUUGAUUUCAGCUGCGUCUCCCCCGCCUCUCCUCAUAAAGGGCCCCCACCGUGUCGGAUGUUAAUCGUUUAUUUUGCGUUGGAUUGCGUGCGCUGAACAAUCCGGACAUCGUGGCCACCGACGUGGACACCCCGCCACGAGACCCACGCACACCGACCACCACACUGGGAAGUGUCCUCUGCUCCCUGUGGAAGCAGCAUGGAAGAACUGCAGCAACUCUGAUGGAAACUACCGGGCCUCCACGCUGUUGAACACAAACUGUAGGCCUACUACAAACAGAGGCGGUCCCACUCGGUUAAAGAUCUCGAGGUCAAUGCGGCAGACCGCUGGACCUGGACGUCACCUUCUGCAGAUACUUCACUGCCCUCAGGAAUCCACGGAUAAGGUGAAACAUGUCCGAAAAAUGUCCGAAAAAUCCAGGAUGGAAACUUGUGGAAGGAAGAAAGGGUUCUAUUUUUGCUCAACCCAUAACCCCACUGAGACCUUCUGUGGAAACCUGUCUGACUGACUGACCCUACUGACUGGGGGCCUGUUGAUGUGUGUUUGGUUGGUCUGGUAGAAGGUUUGCUGCUUGUGAUCUGCAAGGUGGUCCUGGGUUAGAUGCGGUGUCUGACUUGCACACCACUCUCCCAAUUCUAUUCUUCUCUUUACUACUUUUCUACUUUCAAUACACUUGCUGCUGCUGCUGUUGACCGCUGGUGGUGCAAUGUGGUUUUUAUUCGCGUAUGUUCUGUGGACUUUGCAUUUGUAUUUAUGAACAUGUUUGCCUGUUAGACCUCGGAUUGGCAAACCUAAACUCCUUCACUGGCAAAAUGUAGAUGCAAAUUAAAUGCCAAAAUUAACAUUUCAA
Long non-coding RNA from Gadus morhua (Atlantic cod), 1212 nucleotides. RefSeq lists it as uncharacterized. The transcript is spliced from 2 exons. The record is from RefSeq and is a predicted model, not a curated record. Lineage: Eukaryota; Metazoa; Chordata; Actinopteri; Gadiformes; Gadidae.